RNAcentral lists this long non-coding RNA (1368 nucleotides) under Amborella trichopoda. RNAcentral describes it as "long non-coding RNA (ATRI_LNC001752)". The record is from RNAcentral. Lineage: Eukaryota; Viridiplantae; Streptophyta; Magnoliopsida; Amborellales; Amborellaceae.
ACGUUACACCAUGUGUAGAGAGAGAAACCACAAAAAAAAAACAGGAACGACAAGGAAGCAAAAGAAACAACUCAAACAAAAUUAAAGUGGCAACAGAUGCAAGGAACAUAAUGACAUGAUAGAGGAACAAAUCGAUAUGUAUUAUGACAGAGAGUGCUUCAGAUCAGGUGGAGAUCUCCGAACGGUCCUCAAAUCAAUACGAGGAACCUUCAACAACCCACCGAAAAAGUGAUGAAAACAAAUCAACCCACCGAAAAAGUGAUGAAAUCAGAUCUGUGAUGGUAUCUGGCUCCAUACUAGGGUUUAUGGGCAGCCGUUGCAGAUCUAGCCGUACAGUUUCAAAGUGGUUUUGUAGUUUCAAAGUGGUUUUGUGGUUUAAGAGUGGUUUUUUAUUUCAGUGUGGUCUUACGGUUUGAGAGUGGUUUAACUGUUUCAAAGUGGUUUUAGACUGGUACAGUUUGAGGAAAGUUAUUUUGUGGUUUUGGACUUCAAUGAGCAGUUUUGCAGAGUAGUUUUUUUGUUUUUUUUGAUGUGGUUUUGAUAAAAGAUGAAUACAAAUCUGACAUAAGGUUUUUUAUUUAUUAUUUAUUUAACAAAUCUGACAGAAGGCGGUUUUGACUGAUGGCAGUUUCAAUAUCUAGGGUGCUUGUGAGAAAGCGGGUUGUAUUGCAGGCCGGUAUUAUAAAGUGGUACUCAGAUUUCAAAAGAGCGGUAUUUCAGUUGAUUGUUACCAGGCCACGACAGCAUAAUCGCGUCUAGGAUGGACCCAGACCUGACUCUGCCCCUACGAAGGAGAAAUUGUAUUUUUCAGAUCUAUAGAAUUGCAUAGAAGACCUUAAAUUUAUGGGGCUACAAAGUAAUGUACAUCAUGAAUCACUUGUCUAAUAUGUACAAGCAAUAAUAGAAAGUAAAUAUACAUUCACAAUUAUGUCUUUGAUAUUAAGUUAAUGUGGGCCUAUGUUGAGAAGCGGAAAAAGUGUUUUUGAGAUGCAAACACUAUUUUCAUUUAAAUCAAAAUUUUUAAGCAGUAAAAACUUAAUAGCACCAAAUGCGCAAGGCUGCUAGCAUUUGUUUCAACUUCUCCCUUAUAAGUUUAGAAGGUAUAUUAAAAAAAACUCAAAAACUCACAAAAAGAAUAUAACCAUAAAAUCUAAAUUUUAAACAAAAAGCAAGGAGACAUUCUAUCACACUGUUGAAAAGUUAAUGUCAAAUGCUUAAGAUUAGCGACCAUCGAAGGUAGUAAUUGAGACCUCAUUUACAGAGUUGUCUUCUGUGUAAUUUGCAGAUACAUCCGACCCUGUAACGGUUCUAUCAUCAAAAACCAUAGGUGGGGGCAUCGGCAAGCUAAGACUCGAAGAAUCACUUCCC